UGAGGAAUAUUGGUCAAUGGGCGCAAGCCUGAACCAGCCAUCCCGCGUGCAGGAAGACGGCACUAUGGGUUGUAAACUGCAUUUCCAGGGGGAGAAACUUACGUACGCGUUACGUAACUGACGGUACCCUGGGAAUAAGCAUCGGCUAACUCCGUGCCAGCAGCCGCUGUAAUACGGAGGAUGCAAGCGUUAUCCGGAUUCAUUGGGUUUAAAGGGUGCGUAGGCGGACUAUUAAGUCAGUGGUGAAAUCCUGCAGCUCAACUGUAGAACUGCCGUUGAUACUGAUAGUCUUGAGUUUGGUUAAGGUAGGCAGAAUGUGUAAUGUAGCGGUGGAAUGCUUAGAUAUUACACAGAACACCGAUUGCGUAGGCAGCUUACUGAGCCGACACUGACG
RNAcentral lists this ribosomal RNA (394 nucleotides) under uncultured bacterium. RNAcentral describes it as "bacterial SSU rRNA". It matches the Rfam family "Bacterial small subunit ribosomal RNA", at positions 355 to 745 of the family's 1533-position model. The record is from RNAcentral.